This 524-nucleotide long non-coding RNA is filed under the name Lactuca sativa (garden lettuce). RNAcentral describes it as "long non-coding RNA (LSAT_LNC003860)". Lineage: Eukaryota; Viridiplantae; Streptophyta; Magnoliopsida; Asterales; Asteraceae. The record is from RNAcentral.
GAAAAAAACCCAGAAAUCAAAAUCAGCAAACCAACGAUAACAAGUAAAAUCAAACAGAAUUUCUGAUAAAUAAUCAUGAUUCAUCUCUAAGAAGAAUGAACAUGGUUGUAGAUCCAAGAAAAUUUAAAGGUUUUUCUUGCUUCUGAUGCUGUAUAUUCUCAUAUUCCUUACUUGGGGUUUCUGUUUCGAGAAGGAAGAUUAAAAGCUCAAAAUCGAUGUUCAUUAGACAGUAAUGGAGUUCACACAAACGAUUACACAAUUAGACACUAGUUAAUAAAAAACAUAAAUCUUACUGACAUGUAAAGCCUUAUUUACAGACACAUGAAAUGAAAACUUUUUUGGAGUUUUAAUUAGAAUCCUCCGUUCAUCAUGACAGGGAGAUCGUCGAAGCUCCAUAGAUCCAUGACGGUUUCACAAUCCUGAGUUGUUGAAUCGCCGUUGAGGAAAGCGUCGACGGAAGAAGCAUCCCAUGGCAUCUCAAAGAACAGGUCAUCGGUAUUCUCACAAUCUGAGACCAAAUUCAC